Molecule: small RNA, 211 nt
Filed under: Sodalis praecaptivus
Lineage: Bacteria; Pseudomonadati; Pseudomonadota; Gammaproteobacteria; Enterobacterales; Bruguierivoracaceae
Description: Positive regulator of GlmS
Rfam family: Glm Y RNA activator of glmS mRNA (bases 1-166)
About the family: This family consists of a number of bacterial RNA genes of around 167 bases in length. The function of this RNA is unknown.
Source: RNAcentral
GUCGCUCAUUCAUCUCGAUAUGUCAGCGUCCUGAGGGAAGCUUAUUUACGCUCCAUAUCUUCCGAAUGAUGCCAAUGUACGGUGCCUACCGUCCAACGUAACCGUUAAUCGUUGCUCCGGCGGCGUUAACAAUCACAGGGCGACACGUUGAGUGAGGCACCCCCUAAUUUUUACCCUUUAAGGCACUUGACCCACGGGCGAGUGCCUUUUU